Molecule: ribosomal RNA, 143 nt
Filed under: uncultured Desulfobacterium sp.
Lineage: Bacteria; Pseudomonadati; Thermodesulfobacteriota; Desulfobacteria; Desulfobacterales; Desulfobacteriaceae
Description: partial 16S ribosomal RNA
Rfam family: Bacterial small subunit ribosomal RNA
Source: RNAcentral
AAAGGGUAGCGAUGCCGCGAGGUGAAGCCAAUACCCAAAAAGCCGUCCACAGUUCGGAUUGGAGUCUGCAACUCGACUCCAUGAAGCCGGAAUCGCUAGUAAUCGUGGAUCAGCAUGCCACGGUCGAAUACGUUCCGGGCCUU